Molecule: non-coding RNA, 1013 nt
Organism: Camelina sativa (false flax)
Lineage: Eukaryota; Viridiplantae; Streptophyta; Magnoliopsida; Brassicales; Brassicaceae
Source: RefSeq, a predicted model, not a curated record
AAUUGAGGACACAGUUGAAGAGUUGUAAUAAUCAAACUAAUCAGAUACCUUAAUCAAAUAGUGAUCAGAGAGACUCAAAAAAUCAACAAGGGAACGUAAUAAUGGAUCCGUAUGGACCGUAUCAUCAAAUGAACAAUGGAUACGCGUAUGGAGUGCCCGUGGCGGCCGCGCAGAACAUGAACGUGGUGGUGGUGAGUGACGUUUUCUGCUGUCCUUACCCGCUCGAGCUUACCGUCAAGAAGAAUUGUAAAGGACUGAGCGGUGCGAAGCGGGAGGUCGUUGACAUCAAAUCUAACGUCGUUCUUCGUGUUGAUGGUCCUCACGACAGCUUCAACAAGAAACGCAUUCUCCGUGACCCCGCCGGUUACCCUCUUCUCACCAUGCGCGAGAAGAUUCAUCAUGCAUGCAUAUGCCUCAAAAUCCCACGAAACGAAACCGAGUGAAAAAUCCGAAACCGUAGUGUAACCGGUUAUCCAUCCUUAACCGAUUGUUUUAUAUUUUUGUAACCAAAACUAAUAUACACAGUUGACGUCGUUGAAUCACCGAUGGACGGUUCACUGAGGAGAAGGUUCUGAUCCAUCUAACGGAGCUGAUGUUCACAGUGCAGCGUUCUCAUCCUUUUCAAUGGAGGGCACGCCUCGAUGUCUCCUUUCAAUCUAAUAACCAAGUCCGCAAUUUCAGCGUUGUAGGCACUUACUUCGACGACUCCGCUAAGGUCUACCAUGCAGACACUCUCGUUGCCGAGGUGAAGGAGAAGUCGACAUUUGGAGGAUAUUUCAAAGGGAAACAAGACUUUGUUGUUAGAAUAAAUGCAGGCGUUGACUACGCUUUCGUCGUUUCUCUUCUGAUCAUCUUGAACGAGACCAACUCCUUUUAGCUUAUCCACUUAUAUUUGAUUGUUAUAUACUAUUCGGUGAUGCUUAGAUACUGCAUGAUUGUGUUAAUAUUUUGUACAAACCAAAUGAUUUAGAAGUGUGUUGCAUUGUUUAUUUACCACGACAACUUAAGAAACA